RNAcentral lists this ribosomal RNA (796 nucleotides) under uncultured bacterium. RNAcentral describes it as "bacterial SSU rRNA". It matches the Rfam family "Bacterial small subunit ribosomal RNA", at positions 8 to 796 of the family's 1533-position model. The record is from RNAcentral.
AGAGUUUGAUCCUGGCUCAGGACGAACGCUGGCGGCAUGCUUAACACAUGCAAGUGGAGCGACGAACCCUUACGGGGGCAAAGCCGCGAACGGGUGAGUAACACGUGGGGAAUCUGCCCCGAUGACCGGAAUAACUCUAGGAAACCAGAGCUAAUACCGGAUGUGCCUCCCACCAUCAGGUGGACAGGUAAAGAGAGCUUCGGCUAUUCGCAUCGGGAGGAUCCCGCGGAGCAUUAGGUAGUUGGUGGGGUAAAGGCCUACCAAGCCGACGAUGCUUAGCUGGUCUGAGAGGACGAUCAGCCACACUGGAACUGAGACACGGUCCAGACUCCUACGGGAGGCAGCAGUGGGGAAUCUUGCACAAUGGGCGACAGCCUGAUGCAGCAAUGCCGCGUGAGGGAAGACGGCCUUCGGGUUGUAAACCUCUUUCAGUUGGGAUGAAGGUUGGACGGUGAAUAGCCGGCUCAACUGACCGUACCUUCAGAAGAAGCCCCGGCUAACUACGUGCCAGCAGCCGCGGUAAUACGUAGGGGGCAAGCGUUGUCCGGAAUCAUUGGGCGUAAAGCGCGUGUAGGCGGUUACGUAAGUCUGCUGUGAAAGUCGGAGGCUCAACCUUCGAAAGCCGGUGGAUACUGCGUGACUAGAGUACGGAAGAGGAGAGUGGAAUUCCUGGUGUAGCGGUGAAAUGCGCAGAUAUCAGGAGGAACACCAACGGCGAAGGCAGCUCUCUGGGACGUUACUGACGCUGAGACGCGAAAGCGUGGGGAGCAAACAGGAUUAGAUACCCUGGUAGUCC